GAUGAACGCUGGCGGCGUGCUUAACACAUGCAAGCCGAACGAAGCACUUUAUUUGAUUUCCUUCGGGACUGAUUAUUUUGUGACUGAGUGGCGGACGGGUGAGUAACGCGUGGGUAACCUGCCUUGUACAGGGGGAUAACAGUUGGAAACGGCUGCUAAUACCGCAUAAGCGCACAGCAUCGCAUGAUGCAGUGUGAAAAACUCCGGUGGUAUAAGAUGGACCCGCGUUGGAUUAGCUAGUUGGUGAGGUAACGGCCCACCAAGGCGACGAUCCAUAGCCGACCUGAGAGGGUGACCGGCCACAUUGGGACUGAGACACGGCCCAAACUCCUACGGGAGGCAGCAGUGGGGAAUAUUGCACAAUGGGCGAAAGCCUGAUGCAGCGACGCCGCGUGAGCGAAGAAGUAUUUCGGUAUGUAAAGCUCUAUCAGCAGGGAAGAUAAUGACGGUACCUGACUAAGAAGCACCGGCUAAAUACGUG
RNAcentral lists this ribosomal RNA (481 nucleotides) under uncultured bacterium. RNAcentral describes it as "partial 16S ribosomal RNA". It matches the Rfam family "Bacterial small subunit ribosomal RNA", at positions 28 to 507 of the family's 1533-position model. The record is from RNAcentral.